GUUUACAGUGAGCGUUGAGUAUUAUACAUUGUUCCUUGCUGGAAUAGAAACCUAAAUGAAACCUAAAUUUUAAAAAAAGAUAAAAAAGUAAAACUGAAAACU
Dipodomys spectabilis (banner-tailed kangaroo rat) is the source of this 102-nucleotide long non-coding RNA. RefSeq lists it as uncharacterized. Lineage: Eukaryota; Metazoa; Chordata; Mammalia; Rodentia; Heteromyidae. The transcript has 3 exons. The record is from RefSeq and is a predicted model, not a curated record.